UGCUUAACACAUGCAAGUCGAACGAUGAAGCCCAGCUUGCUGGGUGGAUUAGUGGCGAACGGGUGAGUAACACGUGAGUAACCUGCCCCCGACUUUGGGAUAAGCCCGGGAAACUGGGUCUAAUACCGGAUAUGACUUCCUGCCGCAUGGUGGGCUGUUGAAAGAUUUAUCGGUGGGGGAUGGACUCGCGGCUUAUCAGCUUGUUGGUGAGGUAAUGGCUCACCAAGGCGACGACGGGUAGCCGGCCUGAGAGGGUGACCGGCCACACUGGGACUGAGACACGGCCCAGACUCCUACGGGAGGCAGCAGUGGGGAAUAUUGCACAAUGGGCGGAAGCCUGAUGCAGCGACGCCGCGUGAGGGAUGACGGCCUUCGGGUUGUAAACCUCUUUCAGUAGGGAAGAAGCGAAAGUGACGGUACCUGCAGAAGAAGCGCCGGCUAACUACGUGCCAGCAGCCGCGGUAAUACGUAGGGCGCAAGCGUUAUCCGGAUUUAUUGGGCGUAAAGAGCUCGUAGGCGGUUUGUCGCGUCUGCCGUGAAAGUCCGAGGCUCAACCUCGGAUCUGCGGUGGGUACGGGCAGACUAGAGUGGUGUAGGGGAGACUGGAAUUCCUGGUGUAGCGGUGAAAUGCGCAGAUAUCAGGAGGAACACCGAUGGCGAAGGCAGGUCUCUGGGCAUUUACUGACGCUGAGGAGCGAAAGCAUGGGGAGCGAACAGGAUUAGAUACCCUGGUAGUCCAUGCCGUAAACGUUGGGCACUAGGUGUGGGGAAAUUCACGUUUUCCGCGCCGUAACUAA
Molecule: ribosomal RNA, 797 nt
Filed under: uncultured Arthrobacter sp.
Lineage: Bacteria; Bacillati; Actinomycetota; Actinomycetes; Micrococcales; Micrococcaceae
Description: bacterial SSU rRNA
Rfam family: Bacterial small subunit ribosomal RNA
Source: RNAcentral